GUCGGCUCGGCCUAGUUUAGGGUCCUGGCCUCGGCGGGAUCUGAGGGCAGCUUCAGGUAGGGUGUGCCGCGUAAGGCCCAGCGGAGACUGUGCCCGGGAGCCGAGGCGUUUUCGAGUGGCAAGGCGCGCGCGAGCUGGGGCGCAGCGAGAGAAGGUGUGAGGCUGAGCGGUGCCCGGGACUCCCGGGUCGGCCAGGGGCGGGGGGAUUGGGGGACUCUCGGUGACGUCAGAGGUUCGCAGGACCCGGACGGGGCGGGAUUCGCUCCUCUCCGGGCGGUCUUCCCAGGCGGCCCUUCGGUAAAGGGCGUCCUCUCCAGGUGGAGAGACCUCUGGGGAGGGAGAAGAAUUUGGAACUGUGAUUGUGGGAGAAGGGACUGGGGAAUCGGCCAGGUCCCAUCCUGCGGUUCCUGCUGCUAGAGCGUCUCUGCUAAGUGUCAGAUUCAGCCUUUAGCCAGGGGAACCCGCUGCCAAGCUCAUUCAGGUAGUUGGCAGAAUCCGUUGCUUUGUGAUUGUCAUAUACAGGUUCGUCGUUUCUUUGCUGCCUGACAGGCAGAGCAGCCCAUGGCUCCUGGAAGGAGCCCGUGUACAUCUGCCAGCUAGCUUUGGCUGUGGUUAGAUUGGGUCCACCCUGGUAAUCCAUGCCGUAACCUUAGUUCUUUAUGCAAAGUCCCUUGUGCUAUAUACUGCAGCAUAUCUACAGGGUCUUGGAAGUAGGAUGUGAACAUGGGGAAAGAGUGUUCUGCCUAACACAGAUUAAGCGCAUGUCUAGGGACCAUCCCACUGAGAAUAAACAGAGAAAAGCAACGUGUAAAAUUAGUGCCAGACGAGUUUGGUACCGUUUGUAAUUUUUUUAAAACAGGAAAAAAAAAAGUGCAUACGUGUAUUUGCUUGUGAAGCCUAGAGUAAUCUGGAAGGACAUUUCAAAGUGGAAAGGAGAACCAAGUGACUGGGACAUUUUUAACUUUUUCUUUAAACCUUUUAAAUGUUGAGCUAUGUGACUCAAAACUCCUAUUCAGAACAAUGAUGAAAAUUCAAGGUAAUUUAAAAUAAAAUGUACUGAAUAAAUGUUGGAGAUUAUUUAAAUUCCCCCAUGAAUGGGAAGAGUGAAAAUUCCUUCCAGGGAAUCUGGGCAUCUGCUCCCAGGGCAGGCAGACACACCAUCACUGACAGUCUUAUAACUCCCUCUCAAGUUUCCUGCUGUGCAUCUACUGCUGAAUGGAUGGGAACCUUAGUGUAUUCCCUGCUCUGAGUCUCAUCUUAUACCAUCCUUCUGCACACACUUCCAAGUUAAUCUUUUGAGACAUUUUGUUUUUUGUCUCCUGAUUUAGAAAUGCAGCCAAAGCCUUACUGCAUCAGCCAACCAGUGCCUCCUAACAGUCUGUCCCCAGUGACAUCCCUCUGAGCUCUGUCCUUACCUCCUUGUCUUCUCUCAUAAGCUUUGUCUCUAAACUUGCUCUCUGGCAUCCUCACUCAGUUGUGCCUUCCUCUGUGAUCUCAACCCAGCAGCCCUGGGUGAUGUCUGCUGUCAUCCCUACUCCUUGCACCUUUCUCCAGCCACCCUUCUUCAGAGAAACUCCCUCUCAGAUCCUUUCCAGGUCCCCUUGACUGCACCUCACCAAUAUCCCCUUGACUCUAUCUAAACCCAAUGUGGAACAGAAUAUCCCUUCUCCCAGGAAAGGCAGAAAAG
Molecule: long non-coding RNA, 1687 nt
Filed under: Marmota monax (woodchuck)
Lineage: Eukaryota; Metazoa; Chordata; Mammalia; Rodentia; Sciuridae
Source: RNAcentral